UCCGUAGGUGAACCUGCGGAAGGAUCAUUAGUGAUUGCCAUCUUGGCUUAAACUAUAUCCAUCUACACCUGUGAACCGUUUGAUUGAAUCUUCUGAUUCAAUUUUACAAACAUUGUGUAAUGAACGUCAUUAGAUCAUAACAAAAAAAAACUUUUAACAACGGAUCUCUUGGCUCUCGCAUCGAUGAAGAACGCAGCGAAAUGCGAUAAGUAAUGUGAAUUGCAGAAUUCAGUGAAUCGUCGAAUCUUUGAACGCAACUUGCGCUCUCUGGUAUUCCGGAGAGCAUGCCUGUUUGAGUGUCAUGAAAUCUCAACCAUUAGGGUUUCUUAAUGGCUUGGAUUUGGAGGUUGCCAUUCUAAAUGGCUCCUCUUAAAGGAGUUAGCAGGUUUUACUAUUGCUAUCUGGCGUAAUAAGUUUCGCUGGAAUGGUAUUGUGAAGCGUGCUUCUAAUCGUCUUCGGACAAUUACUUUGACUCUGGCCUCAAAUCAGGUAGGACUACCCGCUGAACUUAAGCAUA
This 517-nucleotide ribosomal RNA is filed under the name uncultured fungus. Its description in RNAcentral is "eukaryotic LSU rRNA". The stretch from base 149 to 302 matches the Rfam family "5.8S ribosomal RNA". The record is from RNAcentral. Lineage: Eukaryota; Fungi.